UGGGGAAUAUUGCGCAAUGGACGAAAGUCUGACGCAGCGACGCCGCGUGAGGGAUGAAGGUUUUCGGAUCGUAAACCUCUGUCAGAAGGGAAGAAAGCGCAUAGUGCUAAUCAAGUGUGCGUUGACGGUACCUUCAAAGGAAGCGCCGGCUAACUCCGUGCCAGCAGCCGCGGUAAUACGGAGGGCGCAAGCGUUAAUCGGAAUUACUGGGCGUAAAGCGCACGUAGGCUGUUGUGUAAGUCAGGGGUGAAAGCCCACGGCUCAACCGUGGAAUUGCCUUUGAUACUGCGCGACUUGAAUCCGGGAGAGGGUGGCGGAAUUCCAGGUGUAGGAGUGAAAUCCGUAGAUAUCUGGAGGAACACCAGUGGCGAAGGCGGCCACCUGGACCGGUAUUGACGCUGAGGUGCGAAAGCGUGGGGAGCAAACAGG
This 429-nucleotide ribosomal RNA is filed under the name uncultured bacterium. Its description in RNAcentral is "bacterial SSU rRNA". It matches the Rfam family "Bacterial small subunit ribosomal RNA", at positions 355 to 776 of the family's 1533-position model. The record is from RNAcentral.